UGCAUCAUCUGUGUCUGAUUUCACUGCAGAGGGACUGCUUCCUGGGACCUUGUUCUCCUCAGCAUCACCUCAGCUAUGCUGUUUUCAGGGAAAAGUUGUCAGGAUAAUUCCUGAAAGGAUCAGAUUCCUGCCUGUUUGGUCUGUGCAGUCAGCUGUAGCAGAACAGCAAACUUCAGCAGCAACAUACUGACAAGAGCAUGAAGUUCUGCUAAAAGUUUUGUCUGAAAGUGUGAUGCCAUGCCUUCCUCUCACCAGUGAGGGAGUCCUCACAGUGCCUUCGAGGCAAGGAUGUGUCAUCUGUGUAAAAAAAGCAGAGCAAGGCUGCCAAGCACAGCUGCUUCUAAUGGCACCUGAACCACAUCUCAGGAGAUGAUAGAUAGAUUCAAUACGGAGCUCUUGAUGCUUAGGGUACAAUUUUGAACGCAGACUUAAUGCUUUUGUCAAGAAAGGAGGUAGAGAAGUGGCUUCAUUGCUUACACAGAGAUGGCUGUCCCUAUCAAACUUUAAGGUGAAAUUCACAAAGGACUCGAGUCACUACGAUGCAAAGGCAUGCUGAACUGCUCUGAUGCUUUAGAGUUUUGUCCCACAGUUGCUGCUACUGAAUUGAGACCACUGCUGAUAGAUAUAAUAGAGAAUGAGAAUGUGUGGACAGGCUUGGAAUUAAAGCUGAUCUUGGCAAGAUGGUGAGUACUAGUCUACAAGGGCAAGUUCACAGCACUGCAUAUCAGCAGGAACUACCACCUCUUCAAAUACGUAAUGGAGAACAUCUGAGUUAGCAACAUUCCUGAAAAAACUGACUCAGUGGUGAUUGUAGUCCACAGGUUUUGCAAGUCAACAGCACAGUUUGGACGAGAGAGUAUACACUCUCCCAAUGCAGAAAUUAGACUGCCUGUAAAACUAAGGUGAGAUAGUCUUUCCUCCUCAUGGUUCAGUACAGCAAGGUUUCCAUGGUACUGCUGUGUUUUAGUUACCAUGGAUAAAGGAAAAAUCACUUGGAGAGGAUCAAGUAAACACCAAUUUGGUCAGAGAUCUAGGAUAAAAGUUCUUUAGAGGAAAGAUAGAAAAGGUUAACAUGUUUUUCUAGCCGAGAGAAAGCAUGCCUCCAAUAGAAAAAGUUGCAAAAGCAAAAGUAUGUUCUCCCAUACAGGUAUCAAAUACAUCAGAAAACAGUGAGCUGAACUUGUAAAAAGGGAUCUUUAAUAGUUAAGGUUUCUCCUUAAGGAUAAGGAAGUACUGUGCUGUGGAGCACUGGUGGCUUGACGUAGCUGUGGAGAACAGGUUAGUCAGAUGUUCUGGAAGGACAUAUGUAAUUAAACCUGCUGUAGACUAGAGGCCAACAUCAGGUUUUUUCACAUCUUCUAGUCUGUGACAGUGACUAGUCACACGGAAAACUUCAAGAAAAGGUUCAAAUUGAUUUGCAGGCCUCAAUGCAGGAAAAUAGUUUGGGAUGUAGUUCAGGACAGUAGCAACUGACAGAUGCUUGAAAAAUGAGCCUAGAUUUUAGGUAAGAUUAUGUUAUUUCAAACCUUUUUUGUUCUUUUCUCAUGUAAAAUGGGCAGUUUAUGUAUUUUAAUGAUUUUCAGGCUGGCCCCAAGUACUCAAGUGGAGUUGUGUUGCUGGAUGUCAAAACUUAACUGGACAUCCUGAAUAAAUGUGCAGAGGGAAGAAAUAUUGUGCUGUGAAUGUUAGAGUACACAAAACUGUUUAAUUCAGCGUUGCCAGAUUGGCAUGGAUAGCCUUUUUGUGUAGCAGUUGUUCCUUUUAAAAAUAGCAUGCUUCGUCUUAGCAGUAAGUGAGAAACAAAUAGCUCUUAAUUUGUCAUGGAACUGUUUACUUUAGAUCAGUCGUCCAUGUGCAGAUGAUUCCAUUAUUUAUUUCAGAAUCUUGGAGGGCAAGAUUUUAUUAAAUUUUGGAACUGUAUCUCUUUGUCUUUUGGAGCACAAACAAUGGGAAUGGAAACUUUCUUAAACCCUAUUUAUGAACUUCACUAUUUUCUGUGUUUAAUUCAUCUCCCUAAAAAUUUGAGUGUUUGUUCUAUCUGCAGAUGAACAGAUGUGUACUGCUUCCUUGGAAAGCAACAGGAUUUUGCUGCUCUUGCCUGUGUGUACUUCUCUCAAGAUAAUCUUUCCUUGGCAGAUCAAUAUCCAUUUCAUCAGAUUUUUCUUCUUAUAGAGAGAGUAUGUAUGUACGAAAACGAAAAUACUACUGAAAACAACCAUAGAGAAUGCAAACAAUGUGAAUGUAAAGCUGACACUGCAAGGGUGCUGUUUUUCUCUGCCAACAUCAAGCCACAGAAUUUUGGUAUUCAGACUACUUAUUAGAAGGAAAAGUGGCCUGUACUUGGCCUCCUAAAGAAUUAAGGGACAGAACUGAGAACAAAUAUAAUCCUCUAAGAUGAACUGAAUGCAAAAAUUUUGGCAGAUAAAAGAAAUCAACAGUAGAGAAUGCAGAUGAAGUGAGUUUUGUGUGCAUGCAUGCUUAAAAGAUAAAAAAUUAACUUGCAUGAGUAGACCUUUAAGUGGAAUAGAUCUAAAGAAUUCAAGAGAUCAGCACAAGUGAAGCUGCAUCUUACAACUCUGAUUUGCAGCCCUUCUGCCUUUUCUGAGUUAGAUAAAAAAAUCAUUUCCAUAAGAAAUUAACCGAAGAGAUGCUUUUAUCAUCACAAAUUAUGCAAUGUUUUGGAAUAUUCAUACUGCUACGUAAUGUUUUUUAAGACUUUGUGCAACUGACUUUUAGAUUUUAUCUAAAAUCUUUUCAAAAUCCCUGGCUCCAAGGGUGAUGUCACUGACAGGAAUUUUGUUUGGUUGGCUGGAGUUUUUUGAUCCUAUGGUGUUCUACAUGACACCGGCCUACUGGCACCUGACAGGAUGCACAUGUCUCAUAGAGGGAAAGGGAUUUUUGCCCAAGAGUUAGCAAGGCUGACUGAUAGAGCUUUAAAUUAAAUUUGAAGGGGAAAGAGAUAAUAUUAGGUUAAGGGACCAGUAAAUAAAGCGGAUAUUGUUGUGGGGUAGGUGCCAUAGGCCAUCUAGACAGAAUGAUGACACAGAUCAAUUAUUUCUUUAGGAAUUCUAGAUCGGUUGCCUUUGUCAUUUUGGGGUGAGUUCAGCUUGCUUGAUGUUAACUGAGAACACCACACAGCUGACAGGAAGAGUUCCAAGAGAUUCCUAAAACAUCCCGAUGAUAACUUCUUCAUAUAGGUACUAAGGGAGCUGACUAGGAAAGGUGCCCUUCUAGAUUUUUUAUUUGUUAAACAGAGAGGAUCUUGCGGUUGUAGUGGUGAUUGGAGGCCAAGAUGGCCAAUGAAGUAUUCAAGUUUAAAAUCUUUGGCAGCAGAAGGAAAUCUGCCACCAAAAUGUCAACCCUGGAUAUGGGGAGGGCUGACUUCAAGAUGCUCAGAGAGUUAGUUAACAAGAUCCCCUGGGAAACUGCUUUUGAAGGCAUUGGGGUCCGUCUGUGCUGGUCGCUUCUUAAUCACCACUUCUUAAAAGCACAGGAAGAGGAAGUCAAGGAAGUGGGACAGAGAGCUGGCUUGGCUGAGCAGGGUUCUUCUUCUAGAGCUUGGGUGGUAAAAAAGAAAGUGUGUGGCCUCUGUAAAUGAGAAUGGGUGACAUGGGAGGACUACAGAGAUGCUAUUUGCCAUUGCAGGGAGAAAAUUUGUGUGACCAAAGCUCAAUUGGAGUUGAAGCCAGCCAGCACUGUGAGGGACAACUUAAAAACUUUUCAAAAUAGGAGAACCAGAGAAAACGCUGGUCUUUUAUUUGAUGAGGGUUGUUACCUCACAAACAGGGACACAGAAGAAGUGAAGACAUUUAAUGUUCUUUUGACUCCAUCUUCAACACUGAUGAUGGGUCCCAGGACUCCCAGAGCCCCAGGUUGGAGGACUGUGACAGGAGAUUUAGCCUUGCUGGAGAGCCAGGACCUCAUGCAGGUCAUUUGAAUUCUUUGGAGACUUCAGGUGGAAGAAGGAGUUGGGAAUAUGAGUUGCUGCUGGUGCAGGGCAGUGGCGUGGUUCCUCCUCCUCCAUUUCAGUGAGCUGGUGUUAAGGCCUAAUGGAACAAGCUUCAGCCAGACCAUUGCAGGGAAGUGCCAAGUCAAGCACAAAACUGGGUUCAUAGUUACUGAGAUGCUUUAAGUGUGAAAGAGCAGCUUAACAUGCAACAAUCAUGACAGUGAAUGUUUCAAAUCAUUAUCCUACAGUGAGGUAUGAUCAUUGCCAACCAUAAAUUCCUCUCCCAGUAUGCUGUUCCUAUAUCCAGGUAGUAUUCAUGAUAUCAAGGUUUGGGGGCAUAUACUAACUUUUCGCCUGGUUGAUUGGUUGACACUAAUUGUGUUCAGUAUAAGUAGAUGGUAACAGUCUCCAAAAUUGUUAGUAAGGAAUGGAAAGAUUUCUUCUGCUACACUUGUGUUAUAAUUUACCAAAACAUAUUGUUCUUUUCCAGAGUAUACCAAAUAAUUUUUGAUAAUCCUGUGUGAUAUAGUCUAAUAUAUAUGAACUAGAGGGCGACCUGCUGUUAUUUCUAUGGGAUCAGCUCACUGUGCAUAGCAAGGGCUUCUUAUAUUCCUCUUCCUUUCCACUCCCAACCUACCAGUGUACUAUUUUCUACUUCAGCUGAAUCUCAGGGACUUUCUGUAAAUCUCACAUUUCUUAUCAAAAGUUCAGCCCUUGUUUUUAAAUUGUUGAAUGGCAAGGCUCUCUCUAUACCUCCUCUCUACUGUUCUGAGGCUUUUUAAUAUUUCUCUAUCCAUUUGUCCUUUUUUUUUGCCUGUUGUUUUGUGCUUUUAUACUUCUCUUUGCAUUCUCACCGACUUGAUCCUUUUUUUUUCUUUCUUCUCCCAUUUUUCCAGGAUUCUAGUGUUUUCAGAAGUAUACUAGUAAGAUGACCAAACUGAAAUGGAACAAAUUUCUUGGAAGAAAGUCAAAGAUAUUAGAGUUUGUAAUUUUGAUGAUCAUAUUCCAGUGCACUUGUGUCUCCACCCUGGCAAGUUUCUGAUUUUCUAGUGACAGAGAUAGUUUUGUUGUUUUCUUUCACUUUGAAUCUCUAGAAUUGAUUUGAGUAUGUGUGAUUUUCUUAAGCUGUUGUGUAACAUCUGAAUAGAGUAGUAUCUUCAAGUUGAGUACAAGACCUUGAAAGUUUGGUCAACAGUACCCAGAAACUGACAUGGAUAAAAUAAUUUUGUCAGUUGGAGGUAGAUCCUGAAGAGCUGGCAGUGUUUUCAUCCUGGGACUUCCAGUGAUCAGAGUGGUACACAAUACAAGUUCUGAGGAGAUGGUAGACUAUCAGUAGACAUAAAGCUUUGAACAAGAAUAACAAAAACAAAACAAAAAAAACCACAACCAAACAACAACAACAAAAAACAAAAACAAGAAAAAGCAAAACAACAAAUCCCUAAUCUCUGAUUGAUAAUUUCUGACCUAUUUUUUUGUUUUAAGUCAUGCCUGCAUCUAAGAAAAUGCAAAAUGCUGAAGUGAAAGUUAACUAAAAAAAGAUGGAUUUGCUAGAAAACUUCCGUGGAUAUUUGUAGAGUACUUUACUACACUGCAAUUACUUUAGCUAGAAAAUAUAAUGACUGCAAUUAUUUUGGGAAAACAUUUGGCAGAGAAACUUAGAUUGGAAACCCAAUGAAGUUAAUAUUGCUUUUGACAUAUGGUUAUGAUGAAGCCGUAGAUAAAACCUUACUGUACCUGGUAUGUGUAACCUCUGUGUUAUAAAUCUGAAAAACAUUUAGGCUCCUCGCUGGAACCAGAGAACUGAAACAGUGUGCGCUACUGCUGAAAACAGAAACACAGCAAGAGAAAAGUUUAACCUUAUAGCCCAUGAGAUUUCCUUUGCAUCAUGUAGUAAAUACAAAGACUGGAGCAAUAACUGGUAGAGCUGUGGGAUGGAGAAACAUUAUAAUCUGCUGCUGACAAGCAAGUGGCAAGUAAAUCUCAGAAACAACAUGAGGAGCCCUGAUUAAGCCAGACAAAAAAAGCUUAAAAAGCCUUCUAAGUAAAGUGCUGGUUUAGCUAAACAGCACCAGGGAGAAAUGAGUGACAUAUAUAAUCUAAUAAACAGAUGAUUUCUGCAUAUUCCUUGACGAGGAAUCCAUAAUAGUGUUGAGGUUGUAACAGGAAAAAUUUGCUGCUAAAAGAUAGCUUGUACAGCAAAUAUCAAACUGUAUUUCAGACAGUCCAGUAUUCACAUUUACAUUAAGCUUUCCACAUCUGUUUCAUAUCCAUUUUAUGUCAACCAUAAUUGAAAACUGUUACCAUCUGGGUUUUGGGUGGGCUACAGGGAGUUAUCAUGAAAUGAGUAAUUUCUAGUAUGAAUUAUAUAUCGUUCUAAGUCCUCUGGUGGAUUGUGGGAGCUGAAGCGAGAAGCCAAACAGACUUGUAUGGCAUUUGAAAGUAUGGAAAUAACUCUACUGAGAAUAAGAAAAACUGUCACCUUCAGUCUGGAGAAUGGUGGGCUGAGGUAUAGGACCCUUCAUAAGAAGGUAUUUUAUUAUUUCACAGAAACUGAGAAUAAGUAUCCACAUGUCAAUAGAUCUUGUACUUCGCAAAAUCUGUAAUCAGGUGAGGCUUUUUUUGUUUUCUAUCUGGUGCAAAAUCUACUUCAACGCUAACAAUUCUACAUUUAUAACCAAGAAAUUUCUAAACAACUAAAAGAACUGGAACAGAGGCUAGCCUCUGUUUUUGGGGAACUGUAGGCACAUUUACUGUGGGGAGCAAAUUCAUAACUGGACUGCCUAACAGACUGGAUACUAGGCAUGUGCAGGUUAAAAGAUAGGUACAAGUUCUUUCCUUUUACACAAUUGCUUGUUUGUCACUGAAGUCUCCAAAUUGCAAAACAAAGGUACUUUUGUGAGAGUCAUGGCUUCCAUUCAGAAAAAAAAAAAAAAAAUCAGCAUGGAUCUUUGAGUAAAAAUUCAGUUUUACAGCCUUUGGCUUGAGUGUUACAUCAGUAACUAUACACAAACUAAAUAUAUACCAUUCAUGUCAUAGAAUCAUAGAAUGGUUUGGGUUGGAAGGGACCUUUAAGAUCAUCUAGUUCCAAUCCCCCUGCUAUAGGCAGGGACACCUCCCACUAGACCAGGUUGCUCAGAGCCCCAUCCAGCCUGGCCUUGAAUGCCUCCAGGGGAAGGGGCAACCUGUGCCAGUGUCACCACCCUCCUCCGUGUUUUCAUCUUUGUUAUCUUUUCAUCUUUCAUAUCUUUGUUUUCACAAUUCACUUCUGUUUUCCAGGGAAGUUAAUAGUACUUUUGCUACUGGCACUGCUAAGGACUUCUAACUUCAAGAGUAACUGUCAAUGUCAAGAGCUUCAAUAGGUAUAGCCACGUAGCUCUACAAUAUUGACUAAGAUAAUAGAAUUUGAGACCUCCAGAGGUUCCUUCCAAUUUGUGUUGUUCUAUGGUUCAAUGACUGUUUGCAGCUGGGUAUUGGUGAGCUUCUGCUUUGGAGUACAUACUGUAUUAAUGAUUCUCUCCAAACUGAGACAAGCCAAUUUAUAUUUAAGCGUUGGUGUGAUUUUAAUCUUCUGACACGUUUGUGGCUUUAAGACUGCAUAAAAAUGAAUGGCACAAGCUGAUCCUAAGACAUACUGGGGGGGAAAAAAAGCAACCUUCCCAACACAGAAUCACCAAAUACUUUGAGUUGGACAGGACACUUUAAGGUCAUCUAGUCCAACUCCCCUGCAAUGCACAGGGACACCUACAGCUAGAGCAGGUUGCUCAGAACGUGGUCCAGCCUGAUCUCGAAUGUCUUCAAGGACAGGGCUUCCACCACAUCUAUGGGCAACCUGUUCCUGUGCACCACACUUACAUAUUUCUGUUUGGUUUCUUGGUAGAACUGGUAGUUAUAUAAAUACUUCAGGUUUCUUAUGUUCAAAUCUGCCUAUAUUUUCACACCACACUUUGAAAAAAUUCCAUGUUUUGAAGGCCUGUCCCCAAGACUUAUAAAGAUAUCAAGCCAUUUGAUGAAAUACCUGGUAAAACCAUCAAACUUCUAGGAAUUGUAUCUGUAAAACAGAACUUUCAACAAAUGGGAAGUGUUAACUAACUCCAAAAAUAUCCACACUUGUCUAAUCCUUGAAGAAUCACUCUUUUCUGGAAGGCAGAGCUGUAGUGAAGUUUCAUGGCAAAACUUCAUUACAUCAUUAGACAUUUUUGGUCUAAGAAGAGGCAUCUACAGCUGUAGUUCAUUUCAGUCCUGUAGUAUAUUUUUAUUCCACAGGCCAUGAGCUGUGGUUGUUCCUUAUUAGCCACAACCCCCAAAGCUGUGGGUAUCAGUUCACAUGGGAGAAGAGCUGUUAUCAUAAACAUUACCUACUUCAUGUCCUUUGAGCACAGCCAUCUGGGCUGGAAAGGGAACUUUCCUUCACCUGUGAGUGUUGCACAAAUUGUUCACUUCUUGAUCAUGGGUUCAUUGUGCUCUCCAGCUAUUUCAGCUUCCAAGUGAGUUACAGAAGAAUGACAAGUAGAAGAAAUCUGCAGAGAAAACAGGAAGAAAGUAUGAUUAAAGUGGUAUUGUAUGUUGUUAAAUGUCAUGCUGUUAGAUGGCUAACAUUCUGUCCUUGUUUGUUUGCAUAUGUGCACAGAUUGAGAGCUGGAGAAAGACAAUAGCUGCUUCAUCAAUUGCCAUCCUCACUACGACAUGGGAGGAAUGAGUCAGUAGAUUUGAGUCUCAGCGGUCUUUUACUCUUCUGUUGGUCAGAAAUGGUGGUGUUGGUUGUUUGGAUCUUGAAGUUAACGUCUCCGCCAAGGAUAAACACACAGUGGAUGAAAGAAAAUGGAGAACAGCUGGCAGUGACUCAACAGAGUCCCCCACCCUAUCCCUUCAGAGAAUAUUUUCUUAGGCUUUGUAACUUGGUUCUCAGUAAUGUUAAGUUCCAUUUAAGAUGGACGUAGAAAUACGUAGUAUAUAUUUUUGAAGUCAAAGCAAACAUUGAAGAACAAAUUGUGAAAUUUCAUUUGGCAGCAGGAGGUUGCAUCAUUGGCUUUCCUCUCAGCCUCAGGAGGUUUCAUAACAUCUGAAGACAUCAUCAUGAGUGUGAGAAAGCUGACAUUUAAGAGUCUAAGAAUGGGAAAAACUAUUAACCAUUAAGUGUCAGGAAUGUGUAGUGAUUGAAGUAUUCAAAGGUUGUUUAAGGAAGUCAUGAUUACAUGCAAAUAGGAAAUAAAACGUAAUAUGCAAGGUGAAAUAUGCACUCUUAGGUCCUGUAAAAUGUUUCCCCUAUGUCCACUCCCCCAUACUGGGGAGCCUCCAUAUGCUUCCAUAUUUCAAAACUUUAAGAGCUCAUGUGGUCUGGGCAUACACAAAGGCCAUACACAAGCACAAGAUGGAUGAUACAGAUGAGUUAGUAAAUGAGAAUGGGUCCUUUUUUCCUUGAGUACCAAAUGUAAAUUUAUUGCAUAAAAACUUGUCAGCCAUUUUGCUGUUCAUUGGUGUAAUAUCUAGAGGUCCUCGUGUAGAAUUUUAACAUUUGCUUCAUUUUGAUUCUCCCAAAUAAUUUUGUGCUGUCAGAGACUGCUGACGUACCACUACUGAUUCUUUUCUUUAAAUUAUUUCUGUAUAGAUUGAACAACAGUAAUCUUGCUGAUAACUUUCUCCUAUAACGAAAAAUGACUUUCUUCCCCAGAUGUAAGUCCCACUUGCCAAUACUACUGACAUCAAAUAGAGGUUGACAUGAAGCAAACUUUUCUAUUUUUUCUUUAUGUGGAUAUGUGAGUGUGUUUAUAUAUGUACAUAUGCAUAUAUGUGUGUACAUAUGCAUACCUAUUUUAAUGAGAAGUGUCAUAAUUGUCUUGGUUUGCAGUUCUAUAUUAUGAUGCUAUUUGAAAGGGUCAUGUUAUUGAAAGGGUAUAUAGGUACUAUAAACUCUAUGUGUCCAUGUUAAUGCUAAUAACAUAUAAAAAUAAAGACAGUAUAACUUAAUUUGACUGUGAAAACAUUAUACUUCUUUAUUACUAGCACUGCAGUGUGAAGAUAGUUUAUCUUUGUUCACUGACUUUGUGUGAUGUUUGGCAGUGGGGUUGCAUCUUUUUGCCAAUGUUUUUUUCUCUUAUUGUCUUUAGAAAAUUCACAUCGUUCAUGAAUUAGCUUCAGCACAGUCAUGACUGAACCCAGGAACCAGCUGAUCGUUCUCUUACAAGUCUGUGAUAUGUUCUGAAAAGGCUAUCUAACUGAGAUUAUAUUUUGCAAAAACAUUGUUUUUAUCUGUAACAAGAAGUCAAGUAAAAAAAAGGAAAGUAAUUUGACUGACUUAGCUGCUUACUGUCAUUUUAUGCAGACAUGCAAGCUCUCAGAUGUUGUUCGUUUUUCCACUCCCUUUUCUUUACUAGUAGAAGUUUGGUUUGGGAUAAGAAAAGCAAAAUCGGGAAAACUGGCCUUUUAUCCACGACUUCCAGUCAUAAGUUUCUAACCAAAGUAAGGCAUCCCUGCACAGCUCAGAUCCUCAUGCAUUGUAAUUUCAAAGUCUCAGAGUCAUGUUAUUCUUACCUAGCCUUUAGAAAUUAUUUUCUUUUAAUGAAUGAAAGGAUGUGCAAAUGCUGUGCUUAUAUUUACAAUAGGUUUGAAAUUAUUAUGAUUUGACUAAAGUUCCAGCAUUUUUCUUAUAAAUACCUAUUUCAUACAAAAACAUUGAUCUGUGUUUUAGGACUGUGCAUUGCAAGGGAAAAGUCAUCUGAAUAACCAAAACAGUAUUAGAAAUCUUCCACAUAAAUGACUCCUUUAGCCAGCUGGUAAAAAACAACACAUUUCACUGUUUCUAAAGAGUGCUCUUUACUGAGCAUCCUGUUUUCUAAAGAUUUAUCAAAUAUAUUACUUAAUCAGGUUUAGGGAGGUCAUUAUCUUCCUCUACUCUGCCCUCGUAAGGCCCCACUUGUAGUACUGAAUCCAAGCCUGGGGGCCCUAACACAAGAAAUAUGUGGAACUGUUGGAGUAGGCCCAGAAGAGGGCUACAAAGCUGAUCGGGGGCUGAAACACCUCUCCCAUGAAGAUAAGUUGAAGGAGCUGGACUUGUCUAGCUUGGAGAAGAGAAGACUCCGGGGUGACCUCAUUGUGGCCUUCCAGUAAUCAAGGGGAACUUAUAAACAGGAGAGGGACCAACUUUUUACAUAGCCAGAUAGGGAGAGGACAAGGAAGAAUGGCCACAAAGUAAAAGAGGGGAGAUUUAAGUUAGAAUGUAGGCAUAAUUUUUUUUACUCAGAGGGUGGUGAGGCCCUGGUGCAGGCUUCCCAGAGACGCUGCGGAUGCCCCAUCCCUGAAGGCAUUCAGGGCCAGGCUGGAUGGGCCCUGAGCUGCCUGAUCUGGUGGGUGGCAACCCUGACCAUGGCAGGAGGGUGGGAUUGGGUGGGCGUUAAAGUCCCUUCCAACCUAAGCAAUUUUAUGAUUCUGUGGAUAUCGUCCAAUUAAUUACAGCACAAUUGCUUACAUAUGUUGCAUGAAGGCAAACAUUUAUAUACAGCCAAGAUCGAGGAAUGUAAGUGGUGUAAUGUAUGGCUUUUUACUUUUCAUUCGCUUACUCAUUGAUGUGUGUUUGCUCCUAGCUGGAUCCCUCUGACUUGCAGAGGUGGGGACUCAUUAUUUCUGCUAUGGAAGACCACUGUAGAGAACAGAAUUACGACGGGAUACAGGGUGAUGAUUCACUGGAUGCUCGCUCCCUUCUGAGUAAUGAUUGAAUCAUAGCCGAUGCUGAGGAUGGAAAAGACAGCUUGACAGAAAAAAAACUAUGGCUAUUUUUAGUGCUGUCCUUAUAUCUUGGUCAAAAUUUCCUCUUCCUGAGACUUUCUAAGUUGCGUAAUGUCUUCAGUCUGCAUUAGUAGGGCUGAAGGUAGAAUUAGGGUGUUUUGCUGUACUGUGGCUCAGUGUUUAUGUCAGUUACUACAGAAAAGCUAUAACUGAUUUAUGUUAAAGUCAAUUUUAACUGAAAUGAACUGACCUCUGAGGAUUUGCAGAUGUAUACAUGUUCCUAAAUCAAGAGGGUAUCUUCUGGGAGAGGACAGGUGUCCUCCUGAGCAAAACCCAUAAACAGUAAGUGAACUGUUGUGGGGAUUUUCCUCAAUGCCUUUCCCUACUGUAUCCAGUCCUGGUACAUUACUCAACAGAGAGCUGACUAUACCUGUUUAUGAUAUUUCCAUUUCAUGCCUAAAAUACAAGAUUUUGAAAUUAUAUUUGGAAGUUUUUUGAAAUUUUGGAAUUUCAGGUAAUUCCCCCUUAUUUAUGUUUUUCACAUUUCUUAAUGCAGUAAGGUGUUGCGAUAGUAAUGACAGAUGGAUCUAAUAAAGGAGGAAUUAUUUCAUGCUAGCCAAGAUAGCCUAUGAUUGAGGAUUGUUAAUGGUUCUUGUUCAAUUUUCCUAACAAAAAGAUGUGCUAGAUUUAAUGAGGUGCAGUUUUAUUAGAUGUACCAUUAAGAUCGCCAAAUAUUAAAAAUCAGUAUUUCUGGUUUAUUUUAGGAUUUCUCCAUUUUGAUUCAUAUGUCUUUGGGGUAUGAUUUAUAUAUAUUGUUCUCAGUUCUUAAGGCCUCCUAAAUAUGGUUCAUUAUCUAUGGAAAUUAAUCAAGCGAAAUUACUCAGCAUAUAUGGGUCUAUGCAAUUACUACCUGUUAUUAAUAUGCACAUUUUAGAUACAUUUUUUUUUCACCUUUUUCUGUUGUUGGGGAAUUUGCUCUUAGGGAGCUAUUUCAAGCUAUUCAAAAGCUAUUCACUAUUUAAAACAUAAACUGAAGAGGUUUUUUUUUUCUUUUCUCUUUCCCCCCUUUUUUUUUUCCUGAAUUCCCGUAAUUUCUGUUUGCAGUUUAUAGAAUUUAACUUCACUAAACAAGCUUCUAUGUUUCCUAUAAAAUUUUAAACUAAUCUUUGUGGCAAAUGGACAGUCCCAGUACUGCAUGAUGGGAGGGGAAAUAAAGUUAUGGUCAUCUAAGUAAAGUUAGUGUCUGAAGCUUUUUGCAAAGUCAUAUAAAACCACAUAUUACUAUAGUAGAUAUUUUUCCCCAAGUGUUAGAAAACUGUCUCUUACAAUUUUCCUUGUAUUGUUUUUACAGUUUUCUUUAAUGACCAGAUUUUCCCCAUUUGCUGAGUAGGACAGAAGUGAACUAACCUGUGGCUGAUUUACUUUCUUGUUUGUGCAUUGAGGAGGUCAGCUUUAAGGGCAGCUGAGAGAGGAAGCCACCUUAGCAGUAUGAGUGGAAGGCAAGAAGGAUGUAAAUAUGAAAUACUUACCACUGCUAGCAAUAAUAAAAUCAAGAAGGAGGAAGAACUGAAUUCUUUUUGUCUUUU
Numida meleagris (helmeted guineafowl) is the source of this 13254-nucleotide long non-coding RNA. RefSeq lists it as uncharacterized. Lineage: Eukaryota; Metazoa; Chordata; Aves; Galliformes; Numididae. The record is from RefSeq and is a predicted model, not a curated record. The transcript has 6 exons.